ACUAUAUGAUUUUUGUUUAGAUGGCCCCUAUCUCGAAAAACUUAUUUGUCCAGUCCCUUUACUAAUAUUUUUAGCGAUUUUAAUGCCUUUUUAAAGAGAGUGUAUCCCACUCUCCGUUAAAUAACAAAAUUUGCCGUUAACUAAUAAAAUUGCCGUUAACUCUAAAAGUAUAUUUGUAUAAUAAAGUCAAAUAAUGCCACAUCACAAUUCUUUUAAUAAUAAAUGAAAACUGACAGGGGUAAAGUUGGUAUUUAACCAUCUCCUCCAACCAAUUCAUCGUCUUCUCCAAAUUUCAGCAACCUUAACCACAACAUACCUCCACUAUCCUUUCUCCAAAUCCCAGCCACCAUAACCAUAACGCACCUCCACUAUCCUUUCUCCAAAUCUCAUCCACAUAAAUGAAGACAUCCUGUCAAAAUCUUACAAACUCAACGACCACCACCUCAUCGUCAAGCUUCCUACGCCGUGGCUACUCAUUCGAGUCCGUCCUUGAUUGUAAGGUCGUCAUCCUAGGCUUUCGCUCUUAUCCUGAAACUAAACCCCUUGUAUCAUUACAAAAUCAUAGUUAAAAACAUUGAUACCAGACUCUUCGAUACACGAUGUCGCUCUCAGUUGUAAUCGAUCUUUAGACAACAAUUCACCUUGCGCGGCAUGUACUAGGAAGGAGCUGUUGCCGUGGAAGCCAAAGACGCCGCCGUUAGAUCAGAUUUAGAGGUGGCCGUUGUGGGAGGAGAGAGAAGCUGCCUUGGUGUCUAGAGAUUUUGUAACUGCUUGCGUGGUGGAGCUGUUGAGCGCUGGAGGCUGCUGCUUGUGGAAGACCUGCUGCCGUGGAUCUUGAAGUAGCUGGGGCUGCUGGACGUGGAAUUUUUUUUCCAUCUGGAUAUUAUUUUUUUCCCAUGUGGAUUUCAUGUCACAUUCCUUUUCUUACACACUCUCACUAAACGGAGAUUGAGAUACACUCUCUGCAUUCCGUCCAGAUAAGGGCAUUAAAAUCGCAAAAAUGUUAGUAGAGGGACUGGACAAAUAAGUUUUUCGAGAUAAGGACUACCUGAACAAAAGUCGUAUAGUACAUGGGCUUUAAUAUGGGUUUGGCCAAAUUUGUAAGGACCCCUUAAGUUUUAGACAUGUGGGAUGUAUCAUGUUGGGUUCAUUCAGCUACUUGAUAUAGAUUUUGGGCCUAAAAGUAAAUAACGGGCUACAAAAGCCUAAUCUGAAAUGGCAUUUACGCUAGACAUAUAAUCCCACAUCGUUCAAAUUAAAGCUUUCAUAAGACUUAAUAAACAAAUGCGCGAACAGCUCUGUUUGUCCCUUCGGGGACAUCCGAUAAAAUUGGAACGAUACAGAGAAGAUUAGCAUGGCCCCUGCGCAAGGAUGACACGCAUAAAUCGAGAAAUGGUCCAAAUUUUUUUUCUUCCCGAUUUCUUACUGUUUUCAUCAGUCACGCAUUACAUCAAACACAUUGUGUGCAUUCCUUUGAGUUGAUUUUCAGCCGUUUUGCUUAUUUAUUUAGCUCUGUGGAUGGUGAUUUUGGUUCGGUUCAGCUCUGAUUCUCCAUGUUCCUGGUCUGAUUACCAACAGCAGGUCAGUUUAUACUUCUCUCAAACUUCGUGGAUGGUGAUUUUGGUUCGGUUCAGCUCUGAUUCUCCAUGUUCCUGGUCUGAUUACCAACAGCAGUAACAGCUCCUUUCUUCCUCCAAUCAACAAACGCCGGAAGAUUAUCGGUAUCCUCAUGGCUAAACCGAGUUAGCCUCCUCGGACCAUGGAGCAUCCUAUAAUGGCUAACUUUGGAGCCACCAUAGUGUUGAAUGAACUCAUGGUUUUCUUUGAACACAUUGAAACGUUGAGCUUUCUCCGUGAGGCUUCGAGAGACGGUGUGGUGGCUACGCCAUCGCUCGUAUAAGCUCCGAAGACUCUCUUCGGAAGCUAAAUCUUCGUCUUUGUAGUCGAAACUCUGAGCUACCUUCAGGAGCAGGACUAAGGAAAGUGCUAACAGGAUAAUGUUUUUAGUAUCCAUAAUGAAUACUUGACUUAGUAGAAUCAAGAAAUGGGUUUGUUGCCUUAUUGGUUGAUAUAGCUUAGUAGUGCGAGGAUGUUCUUAUAUACUACUCGUAAGCGGUUUAAGAGCCGAACCGGACUGGCUGGUUCAACUAGUUCAAUGUAAACCAAAGAUGUGUCUGAUUUGGUUUUCUUUUUUAAACGAAACCACAGCUCAAACUCUUUGAACCGAAAAAAUAGCAAAACCAAAAACUAUCGAACCAAAAAAUCAUCCAAUUGCUUAUUUACUAA
Long non-coding RNA from Mercurialis annua (annual mercury), 2286 nucleotides. RefSeq lists it as uncharacterized. NCBI's taxonomy places the organism in Eukaryota, Viridiplantae, Streptophyta, Magnoliopsida, Malpighiales, Euphorbiaceae. The transcript has 4 exons. The record is from RefSeq and is a predicted model, not a curated record.